RNAcentral lists this long non-coding RNA (938 nucleotides) under Cicer arietinum (chickpea). RNAcentral's name for it is "long non-coding RNA (CARI_LNC001909)". Lineage: Eukaryota; Viridiplantae; Streptophyta; Magnoliopsida; Fabales; Fabaceae. The record is from RNAcentral.
UUUAAUCUAAGACCUAAGAAAAAAUUAAUUAAUUAACUGUAUUUAAAUAUAUCGUAUCCAAAAGAAAUCAAAUGACACUUAAUUAGUUAAUUGUAAUUUAUAAUCAAUCAUACCACGUUAUUACCGAAGAACAAUACGCAACAUAAGAAUAUACCCUCAUAGACUCAUAGUCACAUAUCGCAAAUUAUCACAUUGUUCUGGGUAGCUUUUGAAAUGCUAGAACAGAACAAAAUUAUUACAUGAAAAUAAAACCAACAAAAGUGAUCAAAACAAUGCAAAAGGGUCACACAAAAAAAAUAAACUUAAAAUCUCUAGUAAUCAACCAAUAACUUGCAUAAUAUUGGAUCAUAGAAUUGCAUACAUAUAGAAAAAUAUUUUGAAAACCUUGGUUCCAAAUCUUGAAUUCGAGACGUGCCUACAUUUAGUGUUCGACAUAGAACAUAAUUACUUCCGGUGAAUAAAACAUAUGAGAAACAAAAAUUAAUAAAGGUGUAGAUAGGAGCAAGGAUCUUGUAUGAGAGUGUAACUGCCAAAGGAUCUUCAGUUGCCCAAAUGAUCAAGCAAGUUAAUAAAUCAACUUGCAAUUGUCAUUGGUUAAUUAUUAUAUAAUGAGUUCCAUGUCUUCAUCUUCAUCAGCACCAUCAUUAAUCUCACAGCUACAUGACCUUGUUUCCAUAUGGAAAUUCAAUAAGAACACUAUAGUACCAAGGUUAUGAAUGGAUGAGCCUUCAAAGAGAACAAGGGAAGAAGGGUUUUUCUUAACUAUAAAGGUGAAUGUGUGUUACUUUUGGGUAUGGAAUAGGGUGAGUGGGGGCAUAUGCAUAGGAUCUUCUUUGGCAUAUACUUUGAGCAUUAACUUGCUGGCCCAUUAUUUUCACAUAUGCUUUUAGCAUCUUUUCUAUGAAUUAAAUUAAUAUAAUCAUUUUGUAAUAUGUGGA